UAACGGUCCUAAGGUAGCGAAAUUCCUUGUCGGGUAAGUUCCGACCCGCACGAAAGGCGUAACGAUUUGGGCACUGUCUCAACGAGAGACUCGGUGAAAUCAUAGUACCGGUGAAGAUGCCGGUUACCCGCGACAGGACGGAAAGACCCCGUGGAGCUUUACUGUAGCCUGAUAUUGAAAUUCGGUACAGUUUGUACAGGAUAGGUAGGAGCCUUAGAAGCGUGAGCGCUAGCUUACGUGGAGGCAUUGGUGGGAUACUACCCUAAUUGUAUUGGAUUUCUAACCCGCAGCACUUAUCGUGCUGGGAGACAGUGUCAGGCGGGCAGUUUGACUGGGGCGGUCGCCUCCUAAAGAGUAACGGAGGCGCUCAAAGGUUCCCUCAGAAUGGUUGGAAAUCAUUCAUAGAGUGUAAAGGCAUAAGGGAGCUUGACUGCGAGACCUACAAGUCGAGCAGGGUCGAAAGACGGACUUAGUGAUCCGGUGGUUCCGCAUGGAAGGGCCAUCGCUCAACGGAUAAAAGCUACCCCGGGGAUAACAGGCUUAUCUCCCCCAAGAGUUCACAUCGACGGGGAGGUUUGGCACCUCGAUGUCGGCUCAUCGCAUCCUGGGGCUGUAGUCGGUCCCAAGGGUUGGGCUGUUCGCCCAUUAAAGCGGUACGCGAGCUGGGUUCAGAACGUCGUGAGACAGUUCGGUCCCUAUCCGUCGUGGGCGUAGGAAAUUUGAGAGGAGCUGUCCUUAGUACGAGAGGACCGGGAUGGACAUACCUCUGGUGUACCAGUUGUCGUGCCAACGGCAUAGCUGGGUAGCUAUGUAUGGACGGGAUAAGUGCUGAAAGCAUCUAAGCAUGAAGCCCCCCUCGAGAUGAGAUUUCCCAACUUC
RNAcentral lists this ribosomal RNA (879 nucleotides) under Staphylococcus pseudintermedius. Its description in RNAcentral is "partial 23S ribosomal RNA". It matches the Rfam family "Bacterial large subunit ribosomal RNA", at positions 1943 to 2821 of the family's 2925-position model. The record is from RNAcentral. Lineage: Bacteria; Bacillati; Bacillota; Bacilli; Caryophanales; Staphylococcaceae.